CGAACGCUGGCGGCGUGCUUAACACAUGCAAGUCACGGGGGCCCGCAAGGGUAACCGGCGAACGGGUGCGUAACACGUGAGCAAGCUUCCGAUUUGUGGGGGAUAGCCGGCCCAACGGCCGGGUAAUACCGCAUACGUUCAUCGAGCGGCAUCGCUUGGUGAGGAAAUCUCCGGGGCAAAUCGAGGUGCUCGCGGCCUAUCAGCUAGUUGGUGAGGUAACGGCUCACCAAGGCGACGACGGGUAGCUGGUCUGAGAGGAUGGCCAGCCACAUUGGGACUGCGACACGGCCCAGACUCCUACGGGAGGCAGCAGUGGGGAAUAUUGCGCAAUGGACGAAAAGUCUGACGCAGCGACGCCGCGUGUGGGAUGAAGCCUUUCGGGGCGUAAACCACUGUUGCCCGGGACGAACCUCCCCAUUCGUGGGGACUGACGGUACCGGGUGAGGAAGCACCGGGCUA
This 459-nucleotide ribosomal RNA is filed under the name uncultured bacterium. RNAcentral's name for it is "bacterial SSU rRNA". It matches the Rfam family "Bacterial small subunit ribosomal RNA", at positions 30 to 500 of the family's 1533-position model. The record is from RNAcentral.